This 109-nucleotide ribosomal RNA is filed under the name Aotus nancymaae (Ma's night monkey). Lineage: Eukaryota; Metazoa; Chordata; Mammalia; Primates; Aotidae. The record is from RNAcentral.
GUCUACGGCCAUACCACCCUGAACACGCCCGAUCUCGUCUGAUCUCGGAAGCUAAGCAGGGUUGGGCCUGGUUAGUACUUGGAUGGGAGGAUAUUAAGAGUUAAAGUUU